Molecule: ribosomal RNA, 1343 nt
Filed under: uncultured bacterium
Lineage: Bacteria
Description: 16S ribosomal RNA
Rfam family: Bacterial small subunit ribosomal RNA
Source: RNAcentral
GACGAACGCUGGCGGCGUGCUUAACACAUGCAAGUCGAACGGAAAGGCCCUGCUUUUGUGGGGUGCUCGAGUGGCGAACGGGUGAGUAACACGUGAGUAACCUGCCCUUGACUUUGGGAUAACUUCAGGAAACUGGGGCUAAUACCGGAUAGGAGCUCCUGCUGCAUGGUGGGGGUUGGAAAGUUUCGGCGGUUGGGGAUGGACUCGCGGCUUAUCAGCUUGUUGGUGGGGUAGUGGCUUACCAAGGCUUUGACGGGUAGCCGGCCUGAGAGGGUGACCGGCCACAUUGGGACUGAGAUACGGCCCAGACUCCUACGGGAGGCAGCAGUGGGGAAUAUUGCACAAUGGGCGGAAGCCUGAUGCAGCAACGCCGCGUGCGGGAUGACGGCCUUCGGGUUGUAAACCGCUUUCGCCUGUGACGAAGCGUGAGUGACGGUAAUGGGUAAAGAAGCACCGGCUAACUACGUGCCAGCAGCCGCGGUGAUACGUAGGGUGCGAGCGUUGUCCGGAUUUAUUGGGCGUAAAGGGCUCGUAGGUGGUUGAUCGCGUCGGAAGUGUAAUCUUGGGGCUUAACCCUGAGCGUGCUUUCGAUACGGGUUGACUUGAGGAAGGUAGGGGAGAAUGGAAUUUCUGGUGGAGCGGUGGAAUGCGCAGAUAUCAGGAGGAACACCAGUGGCGAAGGCGGUUCUCUGGGCCUUUCCUGACGCUGAGGAGCGAAAGCGUGGGGAGCGAACAGGCUUAGAUACCCUGGUAGUCCACGCUGUAAACGGUGGGUACUAGGUGUGGGGUCCAUUCCACGGGUUCCGUGCCGUAGCUAACGCUUUAAGUACCCCGCCUGGGGAGUACGGCCGCAAGGCUAAAACUCAAAGGAAUUGACGGGGCCCCGCACAAGCGGCGGAGCAUGCGGAUUAAUUCGAUGCAACGCGUAGAACCUUACCUGGGUUUGACAUGGAUCGGGAGCGCUCAGAGAUGGGUGUGCCUCUUUUGGGGUCGGUUCACAGGUGGUGCAUGGCUGUCGUCAGCUCGUGUCGUGAGAUGUUGGGUUAAGUCCCGCAACGAGCGCAACCCUUGUUCACUGUUGCCAGCACGUUAUGGUGGGGACUCAGUGGAGACCGCCGGGGUCAACUCGGAGGAAGGUGGGGAUGACGUCAAGUCAUCAUGCCCCUUAUGUCCAGGGCUUCACGCAUGCUACAAUGGCUGGUACAGAGAGUGGCGAGCCUGUGAGGGUGAGCGAAUCUCGGAAAGCCGGUCUCAGUUCGGAUUGGGGUCUGCAACUCGACCUCAUGAAGUCGGAGUCGCUAGUAAUCGCAGAUCAGCAACGCUGCGGUGAAUACGUUCCCGGG